GCAGGAGCAGAUUAUACAGGUGAAGGAGCUGAGCAAAGGGGUGGAGAGCAUUGUGGCUGUGGACUGGAAACACCCGAGGUGAGUGCAGGGGGCCUGUCACUGUAGCCCAGCUGGCCCCAGGGCACGUGGGCCACGGACUGGGGAUUGCUGAGAUGCUAGUAUAAAAUGUGUUUUUUCUUUCCUUCUGCUGGGUUUUAGGAUUACAUCUUUCGUCAUACCCGAGCCCUCCCCGACCUCCCAGACUAUCCAGGAGGGUAGCAGGGAACAGCCCUAUCACCCUCCAGAUAUAAAACCCCUCUACUGUGUCCCAGCCAGCAUGACCCUGCUCUUCCAGGAGUCUGGCCACAAGAAGGGGAGCUUUCUGGAGGGCAGUGAGGUCCGAAUGAUCGUCAUUAACUACGCCAAGAAAAAUGACCUGGUUGAUGCAGACAACAAAAAUCUUGUGAAAUUGGAUCCCAUCCUAUGUGACUGCAUCUUAGAGAAAAAUGAACAGCAUACAGUCAUGAAGCUUCCAUGGGACAGUCUUCUGACCAGGUGUUUGG
Molecule: small RNA, 542 nt
Filed under: Pongo abelii (Sumatran orangutan)
Lineage: Eukaryota; Metazoa; Chordata; Mammalia; Primates; Hominidae
Description: retained intron
Source: RNAcentral